Molecule: long non-coding RNA, 328 nt
Organism: Manduca sexta (tobacco hornworm)
Lineage: Eukaryota; Metazoa; Arthropoda; Insecta; Lepidoptera; Sphingidae
Exons: 2
Source: RefSeq, a predicted model, not a curated record
UUGGCGACAUUGGCCCUAAUGUCAAAACAUCUGUUACUCUAUCCUAUAUUUCUUAGAGGUUAUCUUUGCGUAUUUAUUUUUGAAAUAUGAAUUAAAAUUAUACUUAUAUUUAAAAGAAUCAAUGUGCUUUAUUUUUCCUGUAAAUAAAUAUUGCUUAUCUAAGUAAACAUUAAAAUAAUUAUCCGAUAUAUAGGAACAUAGAAGACCGGUAUUUAACUGAAAAGUAAAGAAGAUUUACUUCAAUAUGGAUUGUUAAGCUAACAACAACAAAUAAUUUUAAACUUAAGCACACAUGCUAUGCACCAACUAUGGCUACAAUUUUAGAAAA